CAAAAAUCCAUGACUUAACAUUUGACUUGUGAGCUACGACAGAAGUCUGAUGAAAAAACAGAUGUGUAGCCUAUCAAAAUUCCUCACAGAUUUCCAGAAGUACUGACUCAUCUCAUCUCAUAGAAGCCAAUUCAUCCCCAGUGGGAUUUCUAUAGUGCCACCAGCGUUUAUGUAUCUAAUCUAUUCACAUAAGAUUGGUUCCAGGAGAACAUGUUACCUGCUGGGACUUCCCACACAUUUCAGGUGAGAUCAGGUGCUAAACAGUCUGCACGGCAAGGAACCUGACUGCACUCAAUGAAAUUAAUCAUGGCGUGUAAAGUUAAGCAGGAAUGGGCCCUUUGUUUCUUACCCUGAUGUUCAGUUCCGGAGCAGUGGUUCUGAAUCCUCCGGAGGACUUAACAGAAAGUUGAAGCAAGGCAUUAUUAAAUUAAAAGGCUGCAAUCCGCAGCAAGACGACCUAAGCAGGACUCUGCGGUACGUGCCUGUUCAUUUUAAUGCGCCAUCUCCAAAGUACAGAACUCUGGACCUUUCUAGCAUCAUAUUUAAUACAUGGUACAUUUACAAAUACGUGACCUGACGCAUUAAUGGAGCAAAUUAAGUUACAGGUAUGAAUUUUACAUAAAACGGAUUAAUAUUAUAUGUCAUGGAGGAAUUUUAAAUACUCCGUCGCCAUGCAUUUUUAAUGGUUAUGGGCUCUAAUUUAAUGUUCCAACGCAACUGUUUUUUUUUUUCU
This 733-nucleotide long non-coding RNA is filed under the name Crocodylus porosus (Australian saltwater crocodile). RNAcentral's name for it is "lncRNA (ENSCPRG00005003523.1)". The record is from RNAcentral. Lineage: Eukaryota; Metazoa; Chordata; Crocodylia; Crocodylidae.